This 20-nucleotide non-coding RNA is filed under the name Arabidopsis thaliana (thale cress). RNAcentral also lists the same sequence under 1 other name. The record is from RNAcentral. Lineage: Eukaryota; Viridiplantae; Streptophyta; Magnoliopsida; Brassicales; Brassicaceae.
AAGUGAAGAAAUUCAACCAA